This 828-nucleotide long non-coding RNA is filed under the name Carica papaya (papaya). RNAcentral's name for it is "long non-coding RNA (CPAP_LNC004419)". The record is from RNAcentral. Lineage: Eukaryota; Viridiplantae; Streptophyta; Magnoliopsida; Brassicales; Caricaceae.
UUCUUCCAUCCUCCAAAAACUUAGAAAGGGAGGGAGUGAUCUAGAGCUAGAGGGAGAGGAGAAGAAGAAGAAAAGCUGUAAGAAACAUCAAAUUUUCAGUAAGAAAUUUAAUAUUUACUUUUAAAUGUAUUAAGGAGCAUUUCUAUAAUGAAAAUUAACGAUGUUUAAACUUAUGAUGUGCAUGGUUGAAUUUUAUGCCUAAAAAGAAGUAAUUUUAUAUGAUAAUGCAUGUUUUAUAAUCAUAUAUGAACUUGUUAAUUUGCCCGUGUAAUUUAUAUGAUCCGAUGGUCGAAAUAAAUGUUGAUAAGUGAUGAUAUUGACAAUAAAAAAUGAUUAAGCAAGAAAUGAUGUAUAAACAUGAGAAAUAUAUAUUGGUAUUGGCAUGCAUAAUUCAUAAGUGUUUCAUUAAACUUUUUAUCUACGAGGAGUUUCUAUUUCUCCCUCCAUCUAGUUUGAAAAGAUGUGAGAUGAGCACUUCCUGUGGAUGACGGCGUACCCUCUAACGAGAGUAAUAACGUGAUAUGAUUGUAGGGGUCACCUUUGACGAAAUAUGGUCGUGAUCAUAGUUAACAUGUAGGACCAUUGUGGUUGGCACGACCGUGAUCAUGAAUCGUGUCUUGAUCUAGCAAGCUGUAAAUGUGUUGUUGGUUUAGUAAGCCAUAAAUAUAUUGUUAGUUUAGCAAGCUGUAAAUGUAUUUUUGGUUUAAUAAGCCGUAAAUGUAUUGUUAGUUUGGCAAGCUGCAAAUUUUUGUUAUAAAGAAAAUGAAUUGGUCAUUUCAUAUGGGUAGCCGGGAAUUCAUAUUACCCUCAGUAGAUGAAAAUUGGAAC